Molecule: long non-coding RNA, 671 nt
Organism: Panthera uncia (snow leopard)
Lineage: Eukaryota; Metazoa; Chordata; Mammalia; Carnivora; Felidae
Exons: 3
Source: RefSeq, a predicted model, not a curated record
AACAACAACAACAACAACAACAACAACAACAACUUAAAAGAUUUGAAGUUUCAGAAAAGAACAGCAGGGUAUAUCUGUUGCUUUAGCAGUACCGCUCUCCCAAUAUGGAACCAAUUGUUUAGACUGAAGAUGUGAAGGUCUUUGACUAUACUGAAGGUGCAAUCAUUUACAACUAAAUGGAAGGAAUGUCUCUCACACAAGCAAUUAAUACACACUAGAAUUUUCCCAGUAACCAGAUGGCAUGCAUUUCAUACCAAGCUUUUUGAAAUAAGAACUAAAAUCAUCUGCCAAUAAGUUGCAUGGAAGUUUUCCACAGUCUCCUUAGGUGACCUCCUUUAAGAUUUUGAAUUUUUUGAGGUCAGAAAGCUUAUAAAUAUUCAUUUCUUGGUGACUCACUUUCAGGGCUGUGGUGGAGUAAUUAUAGAAUAAUUCUAGUUAGCCAUCAUUGAAAACAUUCUGACUUUAGCUCAUGUUAGGUUAUGCUUUUUUUUUUUUUUACUUUCUGCUUGUUUUCAAUAUAGUUCUUACUCAGAGUGCCACAUAAAGAAAUGUAGAUAAAUCUAAAAGGCUAUGGACAAUGUUAUUCUCUUUGACUAGAGACAUUAUUGCUUUGAGUCCAAAACUUUAGAGAAUGUAUGAGAGUAUUGAAAUUCAAAAUUUUUCAAUAUACG